Molecule: ribosomal RNA, 479 nt
Filed under: uncultured bacterium
Lineage: Bacteria
Description: partial 16S ribosomal RNA
Rfam family: Bacterial small subunit ribosomal RNA
Source: RNAcentral
GACGAACGCUGGCGGCGUGCUUAACACAUGCAAGUCGAACGAAGCUUGAUUACGGAUUCUUCGGAUGAAGUAUGAAAUGACUGAGUGGCGGACGGGUGAGUAACGCGUGAGUAACCUGCCCUUCAGAGGGGGAUAGCGUUUGGAAACGAACGGUAAUACCGCAUAAUGUAUUUUGACCGCAUGAUCGAAAUACCAAAGAUUUAUCGCUGAAGGAUGGACUCGCGUCUGAUUAGGUAGUUGGUGGGGUAACGGCCUACCAGGCCGACGAUCAGUAGCCGGACAGAGAGGGUGAGCCGCCACAUUGGGACUGAGACACCGCAGAGACUCCUACGGGAGGGAGGAGGGGGGAAUAUUGCACAGUGGGCGCAAGCCUGAUGGAGCAACGCCGCGUGAAGGAAGACGGUUGUCGUAUUGUAAACUUCUGGUCUUAGUGAAGAAUAAUGACGGUAGCUAAGGAGAAAGCGACGGCUAACUACGUG